RNAcentral lists this long non-coding RNA (411 nucleotides) under Mytilus galloprovincialis (Mediterranean mussel). The record is from RNAcentral. Lineage: Eukaryota; Metazoa; Mollusca; Bivalvia; Mytilida; Mytilidae.
CUUGAAUAUUAUUACAGAUAUAGAUAAACUGUAAACAGCAAUAAUGUUCAGCAAAGUAAGAUUUACAAAUAAGUCAACUUGACCGAAAUGGUCAGUUGACCCCUUUAGGAGUUAUUACCCUUUAUAGUCAAUUUUUAACCAUUUUUCGUAAAUCUUAGUUAUCUUUGACAGAAAUCUUCUCCUCUGAAACUACUGGGCCAAAUUAAUCCAAACUUGGCCACAAUCAUCUUUGGGGUAUAUAAUUUUAAAAAUGUGUCCGGUGACCCGGCCAUCAAAUCAAGAUGGCCGCCACAGCUAAAAAUAGAACAUAGGGGUAAAAUGCAGUUUUUGGCUUAUAACUCAAAAACCAAAGCAUUUAGAGCAAAUCUGACAUGGGAUAAAAUUGUUUGUCAGGUCAACAUCUAUCUGCCC